UGGGGAAUUUUGCACAAUGGGCGCAAGCCUGAUGCAGCGACGCCGCGUGAGGGAUGAAGGCCUUCGGGUUGUAAACCUUUUUCGCUCAUGGUCAAGCCGCAGCUUUGGGUUGUGGUGUGGGUAGUGGGUAAAGAAGCGCCGGCUAACUACGUGCCAGCAGCCGCGGUAAUACGUAGGGCGCGAGCGUUGUCCGGAAUUAUUGGGCGUAAAGGGCUUGUAGGCGGUUGGCCGCGUCUGCCGUGAAAUCCUCUGGCUUAACUGGGGGCGUGCGGUGGGUACGGGUUGACUGGAGUGCGGUAGGGGAGACUGGAAUUCCUGGUGUAGCGGUGGAAUGCGCAGAUAUCAGGAGGAACACCGGUGGCGAAGGCGGGUCUCUGGGCCGUUACUGACGCUGAGGAGCGAAAGCGUGGGGAGCGAACAGG
RNAcentral lists this ribosomal RNA (422 nucleotides) under Verrucomicrobiota bacterium. Its description in RNAcentral is "Verrucomicrobia bacterium partial 16S ribosomal RNA". It matches the Rfam family "Bacterial small subunit ribosomal RNA", at positions 355 to 776 of the family's 1533-position model. The record is from RNAcentral. Lineage: Bacteria; Pseudomonadati; Verrucomicrobiota.